AGGGAAUCUUCGGCAAUGGACGGAAGUCUGACCGAGCAACGCCGCGUGAGUGAAGAAGGUUUUCGGAUCGUAAAGCUCUGUUGUAAGAGAAGAGCGAGUGUGAGAGUGGAAAGUUCACACUGUGACGGUAUCUUACCAGAAAGGGACGGCUAACUACGUGCCAGCAGCCGCGGUAAUACGUAGGUCCCGAGCGUUGUCCGGAUUUAUUGGGCGUAAAGCGAGCGCAGGCGGUUAGAUAAGUCUGAAGUUAAAGGCUGUGGCUUAACCAUAGUACGCUUUGGAAACUGUUUAACUUGAGUGCAAGAGGGGAGAGUGGAAUUCCAUGUGUAGCGGUGAAAUGCGUAGAUAUAUGGAGGAACACCGGUGGCGAAAGCGGCUCUCUGGCUUGUAACUGACGCUGAGGCUCGAAAGCGUGGGGAGCAAACAGGAUUAGAUACCCUGGUAGUCCACGCCGUAAACGAUGAGUGCUAGGUGUUAGACCCUUUCCGGGGUUUAGUGCCGCAGCUAACGCAUUAAGCACUCCGCCUGGGGAGUACGACCGCAAGGUUG
Molecule: ribosomal RNA, 549 nt
Filed under: uncultured bacterium
Lineage: Bacteria
Description: bacterial SSU rRNA
Rfam family: Bacterial small subunit ribosomal RNA
Source: RNAcentral